Molecule: ribosomal RNA, 73 nt
Filed under: Golovinomyces cichoracearum
Lineage: Eukaryota; Fungi; Ascomycota; Leotiomycetes; Helotiales; Erysiphaceae
Description: partial 28S ribosomal RNA
Source: RNAcentral
UUGACCUCGAAUCAGGUAGGGGAUACCCUGCUGAAGCUUAGAGCAUAUCACUAAGCUGAGGCAAGGAAUGACG